This 92-nucleotide transfer RNA is filed under the name Erinaceus europaeus (western European hedgehog). It matches the Rfam family "tRNA". From Rfam's summary of the family: Transfer RNA (tRNA) molecules are approximately 80 nucleotides in length. Their secondary structure includes four short double-helical elements and three loops (D, anti-codon, and T loops). Lineage: Eukaryota; Metazoa; Chordata; Mammalia; Eulipotyphla; Erinaceidae. The record is from Rfam by way of RNAcentral.
GCUCCAGUGGCGCAAUCGGUUAGCGCGCGGUACUUAUACAGCAGUACGUCUGAGCUAUGCCGAGGUUGUGAGUUCGAGCCUCACCUGGAGCA